UUUAAAUGGCCGCAGUAUACUAACUGUGCAAAGGUAGCAUAAUCAUUAGUCUUUUAAUUGAAGGCUGGUAUGAAUGGUUGGACGAGAUAUUAACUGUUUCAUUAGAAUUUAUAUUAGAAUUUUAUUUUUUAGUCAAAAAGCUAAAAUUUAUUUAAAAGACGAGAAGACCCUAUAAAUCUUUAUAUUUAAAUUAUUAUAAUUUUAUAGAUUUUUUUUGUUAUAAUAGUUAAUAAUAUUUUAUUGGGGUGAUAUUAAAAUUUAAUAAACUUUUAAUUUUUAAAAUCAUUAAUUUAUGUAUAAUUGAUCCGUUAUUAACGAUUAAAAAACUAAGUUACUUUAGGGAUAACAGCGUAAUUUUUUUGGAGAGUUCAUAUCGAUAAAAAAGAUUGCGACCUCGAUGUUGGAUUAAGAUAUAAUUUUAGGUGUAGUCGCUUAAAUUUAAAGUCUGUUCGACUUUUAA
This 460-nucleotide ribosomal RNA is filed under the name Gimnomera cerea. RNAcentral's name for it is "partial 16S ribosomal RNA". It matches the Rfam family "Bacterial large subunit ribosomal RNA", at positions 1922 to 2591 of the family's 2925-position model. Lineage: Eukaryota; Metazoa; Arthropoda; Insecta; Diptera; Scathophagidae. The record is from RNAcentral.